CUAAUAUCCGGAACUGAUGACGGUACCUGAAGAAUAAGCACCGGCUAACUACGUGCCAGCAGCCGCGGUAAUACGUAGGGUGCAAGCGUUAAUCGGAAUUACUGGGCGUAAAGCGUGCGCAGGCGGUUCGGAAAGAAGGAUGUGAAAUCCCAGGGCUCAACCUUGGAACUGCAUUCUUAACUACCGGACUAGAGUAUGUCAGAGGGGGGUAGAAUUCCGCGUGUAGCAGUGAAAUGCGUAGAUAUGCGGAGGAAUACCGAUGGCGAAGGCAGCCCCCUGGGAUAAUACUGACGCUCAUGCACGAAAGCGUGGGUAGCAAACAGGAUUAGAUACCCUGGUAGUCCACGCCCUAAACGAUGUCAACUAGCUGUUGGGCCCUUCGGGGCUUAGUAGCGUAGCUAACGCGUGAAGUUGACCGCCUGGGGAGUACGGUCGCAAGAUUAAAACUCAAAGGAAUUGACGGGGUACCCGCACAAGCGGUGGAUGAUGUGGAUUAAUUCGAUGCAACGCGAAAAACCUUACCUACCCUUGACAUGUCUGGAAUCCUUUAGAGAUAGAGGAGUGCUCGCAAGAGAACCGGGAACACAGGUGCUGCAUGGCUGUCGUCAGCUCGUGUCGUGAGAUGUUGGGUUAAGUCCC
This 639-nucleotide ribosomal RNA is filed under the name uncultured bacterium. RNAcentral describes it as "SSU rRNA". It matches the Rfam family "Bacterial small subunit ribosomal RNA", at positions 454 to 1088 of the family's 1533-position model. The record is from RNAcentral.